Morone saxatilis (striped sea-bass) is the source of this 595-nucleotide long non-coding RNA. RefSeq lists it as uncharacterized. Lineage: Eukaryota; Metazoa; Chordata; Actinopteri; Moronidae. The record is from RefSeq and is a predicted model, not a curated record. The transcript has 3 exons.
CCAAACCUAAAUGGAAGUCGGCCAUUUUAGGUUGAGCGGUCAUUUCUGUUGUGAAAUUAAAGUUGUGUUUAACCAGAAUCACCCUUUCACUUGUGGCCACAGAUAAAGCUAAACUUAAGAUAAACUUCUGUUUUUCUCUAACUUUAAACUUUUUUCCCCCAAUCUUUCUCAGAGGAUGUUAAACUAAAACAGUCUAACAGGUCCAUCUUUCCUCUCCCCUCUUGUGUUGCUGUGUAAGAACCUGAACACCACAGUAUCUCAGGACUGGUGUUUGGCUCUGCAGAGGCUUAUCCGUUUGAAGGAGGAGGAGAUCCAGAACGCCAACAAGUGUCGCCUGCGCCUGUCUGUACCGGGCAAACCUGACAAGUCUGGUCGUCCAGUGAGCAUCAUGGUGGUCUUCAACACUCCCAGCCCCAUCUGUAAGAUCUCCUGGGUGAACCGGCUCCACCUAGCCAAGAUAGCUCAGAGACAGGAAAACACACCAGGGUGGGAAUGUGCUGCAGAAGAUUGGAAGACAAAAGCUCCCUUCAGUUGUCCACUGUUGACCUGCAAACUUCCUGUCUUCUCCUCCAAGACACACACUUUGAAGGUGAGA